AUUCACCAUGGGGAUUGCUUUAAGAGUACUCGGGUGUCCUCCAGCUACUUUUCCUUUCUAACCGUCGCUCUGGCAACCCUUCAACCUGGAUUCGAGCCCCCAAUGGAUGGACACCACUUGCUGAGACCAGCUCGGUCAGGGAGGCCCUAACCCAGCGGCACUAGAGGAAUUAAAGACACACACACAUAAAUAUAGAGUAACAUAGAAUGUUGAUUGUCCUGAGUUCCAGAGCCUCAAAGAGCACCCAGCAUAACUGUGGGAGAAUAGUAAGCAUUGGACACAAAAUGGUUUAGGCAAAUAAUGAUGAACAAAAAUGGUCAGUCUGUGUUCCUGCUGACCCAGCACAGUGGGGACGCUGUGUAGGACAUGACCUUUGGGGGAAAGGACACAAGAACUCAGCGUGGGGGAUCCAGAAAAGAAGUCGCACGUAUUGAAGCCAGUAACGCCAAGCCAGUGAAUUCUCCUUGACGAGAAAGACCCACUUACUCUGCAGAAGAGAUAUAUGACAGCUGACAAUCCCUGGAGGAGAAUCUUUCUACUAAAUUGGUAAGGGAUGCUAAGCAAAUGAUGUGGACUCAGGAAACAACGCAUUUCAUGAUAUACGGUUGCCUCUCAAGGUGAAUUCGAGACCCCUCUUGAAUUACAAAGAGAGUGAAGAAAAGGAGUAAACGUAAAGAUCUACCCCAAUGUAUUUUACAAAAACAUCUACUUGGAAAUACCGUGGUUUAUUAUUCCUGGCGACACAACUUGGCAUUUUUUUCCCCUUUCUGUUGUGCUUCAUUUUAUUGCGCUUCACAGAUACUGAGUUUUUACUUUUUUUCUUUUCUAGUGUUUCUUUGUUAUUUCUUCAGCCUUUAUUUUAAGUUCCUACUCACUUGCAAAUUUUUUUACAGAGUACGAAUGAAUGCCUGAAAGUCAAAGUAUAUGUACCCCGGAACAACUUGUCAUUUAACAACAAAAACAAAACUUUGACAUUCAGGCCUUCAUUUGUACUCUGUAAAAAAUCCGCAAAUGAAUAUUUUCUGAAGGGAAGGAAAGAAGCACCUUUACCAUUUUGUUAUUCUCUUGUUAUCUGUGAAGUUUGAUUUAUUGGAAACUACCAAGAAAGAAAUUAGCAGAAAUCAUCACAGCAAGACUCUUUAAGGAAUGGAUGGAAUUUAGAAAGGAAUUAGCUGGAAAAAAAUGCAAAAUUUUUAAGUGCCAAUUUUCCAUUUAAUUUUCACCAGCAAUCCCCAUUUCACGAAUGCUGUUUCUGAGCUUGAAAUGUCAAAAUAAUCAAAAAUAAACAUAGCUCACGUACUGAAUUUUAUCAUUAAAAUACUUUGUUUUCCA
Homo sapiens (human) is the source of this 1332-nucleotide long non-coding RNA. Ensembl annotates it as long intergenic non-protein coding RNA 2436. The record is from Ensembl. NCBI's taxonomy places the organism in Eukaryota, Metazoa, Chordata, Mammalia, Primates, Hominidae.